RNAcentral lists this ribosomal RNA (712 nucleotides) under uncultured archaeon. RNAcentral's name for it is "bacterial SSU rRNA". It matches the Rfam family "Archaeal small subunit ribosomal RNA", at positions 123 to 835 of the family's 1478-position model. The record is from RNAcentral.
GGCAUAAUCCUGGGAAACUGGGUAUAAUUCCAGAUAGGUCACAGAUGCUGGAAUGCACUGUGGCCGAAAGCUCCGGCGCCCAAGGAUGGGUCUGCGGCCUAUCAGGGUUGUAGUGGGUGUAACGGACCUACUAGCCUACGACGGGUACGGGUUGUGAGAGCAAGAGCCCGGAGAUGGAUUCUGAGACACGAAUCCAGGCCCUACGGGGUGCAGCAGGCGCGAAAACUUUACAAUGCGGGAAACCGUGAUAAGGGAAUCUCGAGUGCCAGCAUAUAAUGUUGGCUGUCCAGAUGCCUAAAAAGCAUCUGUUAGCAAGGGCCGGGCAAGACCGGUGCCAGCCGCCGCGGUAACACCGGCGGCCCGAGUGGUAACCGCUUUUAUUGGGUCUAAAGGGUCUGUAGCCGGCCAAGUAAGUCCCUUGGGAAAUCUGGCAGCUUAACUGUCAGGCUGCUAGGGGAUACUGCUAGGCUUGGGACCGGGAGAGGUGAGAGGUACCUUGGGGGUAGGGGUGAAAUCUUGUGAUCCUCGGGGGACCACCAGUGGCGAAGGCGUCUCACCAGAACGGGUCCGACGGUAAGGGACGAAAGCUAGGGGCACGAACCGGAUUAGAUACCCGGGUAGUCCUAGCCGUAAACGAUGCUCGCUAGGUGUCAGUCACGGUGCGACCGUGAUUGGUGCCGUAGGGAAGCCGUGAAGCGAGCCACCUGGGAAG